This 254-nucleotide long non-coding RNA is filed under the name Cyanistes caeruleus (blue tit). RNAcentral describes it as "lncRNA (ENSCCEG00000014016.1)". Lineage: Eukaryota; Metazoa; Chordata; Aves; Passeriformes; Paridae. The record is from RNAcentral.
GUGAAAUGUCUCUUCUCAUUACAGCCAGUUCUUAGCUGGUGCCUACCAGGUGGUACUGGGGAUUUUUUUAUGCUGUUCAGCUCUGCUCAAGUGAGACAAGCAAACCCUUCUGGAAAGACCUCAUGUAGGAUCUUGUUAAUUGCCAUCACCACCCAUGUAGACUAAUGAUGUUCUACCAAAUUCAUAACUGAGCAAUGAAAGAGCCUCAAUGUGGUCUGAAUUGUGGCAUUCAUUGGAGGUAACCCCUAUGACUU